GGCCGCUCCGCGCCCCGCCUCCUCCGCCAGCUCCUCCCUCUGCGGGCGGCGGCGGCCGGCGCGCCCUGGGGCCGCGGUGCCCCCCGCAGACCGACCCCACGCGGGCGGCUGCAAAGGAACAGCGAGGGCCAGGAGGUGGGCGCACGGGGGACGGCGGGCAGAGCUGCCAGGUAGGAGCUGGAGCAGGGCUGGCACCGAGGCUUCGGGCAGCAGGGAAGGGCAGGCGGGGCGCCGCGGUCCGGCCUCCUCACACCCUGACCACCAGCAUGCACUGGGCGCCCCAAUUCUCCUGCCUCUGGACCCGUCUCCUCCUCUCGUUUUAGGCACCUGUCCCUGGGCCCAUGCUCCUUCUGUGUUGACCACCGUCUCCAUACCACUUCUUGGGCUUAGGUAUAGAGUCCGAGGUCUUGAUUUUCCUUUCUGCCUAAAAGCCUGCUUGGGCUCCCUAGUACCCAGACAGGCCAAAUUCACCUGCUCUGCCAAUGACUUAGAAAUAUGGGACUUAGAAAUAUGCUACACUCUUAACACACCAAAACAAACUGUGACCCUGCCCUUUUGGCCAGAGAUUAAGUUACUGACUCCACUUCAAAUUUGCCCUUGUAGGCUCCACUGUGGUGCCGGGGCCAGAACCUGCAGACCGUAUUUCUGGGCUCCAUGCCAGACUCAGCCCACAGGGAGCAACAAGGAGCCACUGCAGCCCCACCAGGGUCCAUAAUACCAUCGGUUUUGUUUUAACCAUAGGCAACCUGUGCCUGAGGGUCUCUUCUUUUCUCAGUGCACCCAACUUGCUCUGCCACUUCCCAACUGGCAGACCACUGUCACACCAGGUAAGCCCCCUUAACCUGUAUCAAUCUAUCCAAGCGUCUCUCAGCCCCAAGCCCAGCUGUCUACUUCCUCAAAAACAGUCAGGACCACUGCUGUGAGAUUGGGGGGAGGCGGGGGGAGCAGAGGCAAGCUGCCCACACAUAAGUGUUCACACACAUACACACACAUGCACACACACGCACGCAUAUAUAUCUGGCACUCCAGUCACCUAAUUAACAUGGAGAAGAAAGAAGUCUGCCCUCCCGAAGAGCAGGUGAGCUAGAGACCCUAGCACAGAGGCGUUUAUUCUGUGCCUGCUGCAAGCGUAAACAAGCACCAACGACAGGGACCAGUGGCAGCCAUACAGUUCCACUCGAAAGCAGCCCUCCUGGCAAACUGCGACAUCCUAGAAUGCGCUCUUUCAGCCACCAGCCCAUCCAAUUCUUAGAAAACCCAAGGGGCCAUGCGAAAGCUCCAAGGGGAGAAGCAAUUUGGAAUCAAACAGACAACCCUGGAGGGGAGGGGAGGGGGAGGUCCAAGAAGUCUACAGCAUGGAAAUCCGGCUGCAUACACACACAGGAGAACAAUGCUUCCUGCAAGCUGCAUCCAGGACCUUCUACCACACACCUGUACCCAGGUCAGCUGAUCCCUACUCUCUGUGACUUUAAACAAGCCUCUAACCCAGCCGGGGCAUCAGGACCCCAGCCUGCACAAUGCUGUUAACAGACAGACACAAGCCUAAGUGAUAGAGGUUAAUGGAGUGGCAAGCAUCUUUGCUGCUCGGCCCAGUGGUACAUCCGCCCGUCGGGCUAUAAGAGCUGGCCGGCACUGUGAAAACAACAUGCUUAUGUAACACUUCCAUCCAACAGGCUUCCAAACACCUUCUAUAUACCUGGCUCCGGAGAAACGGCAGGAGGCAAGAAAGACAAGCUCCAGACCGCAAGGCGAAUUUAAGACGACCACUGGUGCUUAACACAGACAGCGCACAAGGGUCCAAGAAGACGAACCCUCACGGGCACCCCGGAGGGCUUCUCAAAGGGAACACCUUGUACUGUACCGGUGAGGAGCCAGCACGGUGGCCACUCUUAAGCCUACAAAGCCUCCAGUCUACGCUUCCUACUCAAGUUAUGGGGAAGUUGGUACUGCAAAUAGCCUGGUUUCUCAGGGUCCCAGGACUCAGGAGGGAGGUUCAAAGUACUGGAGGGCCUUACUAUUUAACUCUGGCUGUCCUGGAACUCACUAUGUGGACCAGGCUGGGCCUCCAACUCACAGAGAACUGCCUGCCUUUGAUUCCCACGGGCUGGGAUUAAAGAAUCACUAAGAACAAGAACUGCUCAUUCCUGAAAUUCUGCAGCUGAGAGAGACACCUUGAUGCAAUUCCAGAGGACAACCGUACCGGAAUGCUGGCCACCAAGGGAGGUCAGCUGUCUCCCCAGUGCCAGAAAUAUAGUCAUGUGAGAAGCAAGCCAGGAAACACGCUUUGAGCUCAACUCUAGAAGUCUUGGCUAACUUCUUUCUGGACUCUGAUUUUGUUUGUUUUAAUGAUUGCCCUUUGCUAUGCUUUUGUUCAGUAGAAAUAUUAUUUUGAGCUGGGUGGUGGUGGUGCACGCCUUGAAUCCCAGCACUCAGGUGGCAGAGGCAGGUGGAUCUCUGUGAGUUCCAGGACAGCCUGGUCUACAAAGGUCCCAAAUGUGUCUACACAGCCAUCCACAGUAUGCUAAGAACAAAAAUGAGAUCAACAACAACAAAAAUCUUCCACAUCUUAACAGUAUGAUCAGAGUCAAAGACAUCUAGCCAUGACACAUUAUGGUGGCACUUCUGCCCAACUUCUCGUCAAAGUGGACAACUGUUUUUGUUUGUUGUUUUUUAAAGUGCCAGGCAUGGUGGUACAAGUCUUUAAUCCCAGCACUUGGAAACUCUCUGUGAGUUUUAGGCCAGCCUCAUCUACAUAGUGAGUUCCUGGCCAGCCAGGGCUACACAGUGAGACCCUGUCUCAAAAUAAUAAUAAAUUUUUUUAAAUCAUCUCACUGGGAUGCCGGUAACGGGAGUGGCUCUGGUACUUCACUGCCAAACAAAGCAGAGUCCAUGGUGUCUCUACAAAGACUUGACCUCUCUUGCUCCGUCCUGCAGAGUACAGCCUCCAUUUAGGAGCUGCGGAAUACUCAAAACUCUUUAAAACUUAAGCAUGCUUAAGUUUUUCUCAUAUCAGUGAUGUGACCGUAUAUUUGGCAAUGGAUUCUUAGCUACAACAUCAAAAGCAUGAGCAAUUUUUUUUUUAAUUUUUAAUUUAAAAAAGAGGGAGGAGGAGGAUGACAAGGGCCUGUAGUCCCUGCUACUCAAGAGGCUGAGGCAGGAAGAUCACCUGAGCCCAGAAUUCAAAACCAAUCUGGGCAAGAAACAAAGUGGUACAUGGUAGCUUUUUCCUAUAAUCUCAGAUGCUAAGGCAGAAGAACUGUCAAAGGAGUUUGAGGCCAGCCUGGGCUGUAGACCAAGGUCAACACCAACCUGGGCCACAGCGAAACCUUAUCUCAAAAAAUAUAUAUGUAUACAACGUAUUUUUAAUUUGUUACACCUACUUAUUUGCGUAUGUACAUAUAUGAACACAAGCAUGUGCCAUGGCUCUAUGAAGCAGGUGAAGGCCCUGAAGAAGUCAGCUCUCUCCUUCCACCAUGUGGAUUUCCCAGGCUUAGCAGCAAACACAUUUACCCACUAAGCCAUCUUGCUGGCCUUAUAUUCUAUAUAUUCAGAAUAUAUAAAGAAUUCUUAUGGUUCAACAAUAAGAAAAAAAAAUCUUAACGUGAGCAAAGGCUUCACUCUUCUCCCAAGACACACAAAAGACCCAAGAAAAUAUGCAAAAUAUCAGGGGGCAUUAGGAAACCACAAAACCACAAUGAAAUACCACACCAUAGCCAACAGAAUAACCACGAUUAAAAAAAAAAAAAAAAAAAAAAAAA
Long non-coding RNA from Peromyscus californicus insignis, 3758 nucleotides. RefSeq lists it as uncharacterized. The transcript has 4 exons. NCBI's taxonomy places the organism in Eukaryota, Metazoa, Chordata, Mammalia, Rodentia, Cricetidae. The record is from RefSeq and is a predicted model, not a curated record.